UGAGAGGUGUCCGAGUGGUCGAAGGUGCAGACCUGGGAACGUCUGUGUGGGGCGACUCACCGAGAGUUCGAAUCUCUUCCUCUCAGCCA
Molecule: transfer RNA, 89 nt
Filed under: Sulfurovum sp.
Lineage: Bacteria; Pseudomonadati; Campylobacterota; Epsilonproteobacteria; Campylobacterales; Sulfurovaceae
Description: tRNA-Pro
Rfam family: tRNA
About the family: Transfer RNA (tRNA) molecules are approximately 80 nucleotides in length. Their secondary structure includes four short double-helical elements and three loops (D, anti-codon, and T loops).
Source: RNAcentral